GCCUGGGUGGCUCAGUCGAUUGAGUGUCUGAUUUUGGCUCAGGUCAUGAUCUCAUGGUUCGUGAGUUCAAGCCCCACUUCCGGCU
Molecule: transfer RNA, 85 nt
Filed under: Felis catus (domestic cat)
Lineage: Eukaryota; Metazoa; Chordata; Mammalia; Carnivora; Felidae
Rfam family: tRNA
About the family: Transfer RNA (tRNA) molecules are approximately 80 nucleotides in length. Their secondary structure includes four short double-helical elements and three loops (D, anti-codon, and T loops).
Source: Rfam by way of RNAcentral